Molecule: transfer RNA, 72 nt
Organism: Ovis aries (sheep)
Lineage: Eukaryota; Metazoa; Chordata; Mammalia; Artiodactyla; Bovidae
Rfam family: tRNA
About the family: Transfer RNA (tRNA) molecules are approximately 80 nucleotides in length.
Source: Rfam
UCCCUGGUGGCUCAGUUGGUAAAGAAUCUGCCUGCAAUGCAGGACACCCUGGUUCGAUUCCUGGGUUGGGAA